This 537-nucleotide ribosomal RNA is filed under the name uncultured Trabulsiella sp. Its description in RNAcentral is "bacterial SSU rRNA". It matches the Rfam family "Bacterial small subunit ribosomal RNA", at positions 505 to 1042 of the family's 1533-position model. Lineage: Bacteria; Pseudomonadati; Pseudomonadota; Gammaproteobacteria; Enterobacterales; Enterobacteriaceae. The record is from RNAcentral.
GUGCCAGCCGCGGCGGUAAUACGGAGGGUGCAAGCGUUAAUCGGAAUUACUGGGCGUAAAGCGCACGCAGGCGGUCUGACAAGUCGGAUGUGAAAUCCCCGGGCUCAACCCGGGAACUGCAUUCGAAACUGUCAGGCUGGAGUCUUGUAGAGGGGGGUAGAAUUCCAGGUGUAGCGGUGAAAUGCGUAGAGAUCUGGAGGAAUACCGGUGGCGAAGGCGGCCCCCUGGACAAAGACUGACGCUCAGGUGCGAAAGCGUGGGGAGCAAACAGGAUUAGAUACCCUGGUAGUCCACGCUGUAAACGAUGUCGACUUGGAGGUUGUGCCCUUGAGGCGUGGCUUCCGGAGCUAACGCGUUAAGUCGACCGCCUGGGGAGUACGGCCGCAAGGUUAAAACUCAAAUGAAUUGACGGGGCCCGCACAAGCGGUGGAGCAUGUGGUUUAAUUCGAUGCAACGCGAAGAACCUUACCUGGUCUUGACAUCCACAGAAGUUUUCAGAGAUGAGAAUGUGCCUUCGGGAACUGUGAGACAGGUGUC